This 419-nucleotide ribosomal RNA is filed under the name uncultured bacterium. RNAcentral's name for it is "bacterial SSU rRNA". It matches the Rfam family "Bacterial small subunit ribosomal RNA", at positions 355 to 772 of the family's 1533-position model. The record is from RNAcentral.
UAAGGAAUAUUGGUCAAUGGACGCAAGUCUGAACCAGCCAUGCCGCGUGAAGGAUGAAGGUCCUCUGGAUUGUAAACUUCUUUUAUCUGGGACGAAAACGGGAUUUUUAUCUCAAUUGACGGUACCAGAGGAAUAAGCACCGGCUAACUCCGUGCCAGCAGCCGCGGUAAUACGGAGGGUGCGAGCGUUAUCCGGAUUUACUGGGUUUAAAGGGUGCGUAGGUGGGCUUAUAAGUCAGUGGUGAAAUCUCCGAGCGUAACUUGGAAACUGCCGUUGAUACUAUAGGUCUUGAAUUAUCUGGAGGUAAGCGGAAUAUGUCAUGUAGCGGUGAAAUGCUUAGAUAUGACAUAGAACACCAAUUGCGAAGGCAGCUUACUACAUAUAAAUUGACGCUGAGGCACGAAAGCGUGGGGAUCAAA